UGGUAGAGAUGAAGAUAGAGUCCAAGCUGUUUGACAUGAACUAAAGAAAAUGGUUGGCUGGAUUUAGUAGUCGAGUUGAUUUCUCACUGGAAUACUUGCAUGAUAAUAUUUAGGGUCCAAGUUGUUUGCUCGGAACUGAUGAAAUGGAUGGCUGAAUUCAAUGGUCGAUAAUAUUUGUAUGAUAAUAUUUAGGAUCCAAAUUGGAUGGCUGAAUUCAAUGAUCGAAUUGAUUUCUUGCUGGAUUCAAUGGUCGAGUUGAUUUCUUG
Molecule: long non-coding RNA, 266 nt
Filed under: Amborella trichopoda
Lineage: Eukaryota; Viridiplantae; Streptophyta; Magnoliopsida; Amborellales; Amborellaceae
Description: long non-coding RNA (ATRI_LNC002046)
Source: RNAcentral